This is a long non-coding RNA of Piliocolobus tephrosceles (Ugandan red Colobus), 2368 nucleotides long. Lineage: Eukaryota; Metazoa; Chordata; Mammalia; Primates; Cercopithecidae. The record is from Ensembl.
AUGGAAAAAAAAAGUUUAAAAAAAAAAAAAAUAAAGAAAACUUCCGAUACGGAUGUUGAUGAUUGUGCAGGUGACAUUAAUCAAAAGAUGGAGUGUUUAGAUAAUAAAAAAAAAAGUAAAGAAGAUGACCCCAUUGAUAUAGACAUUACAAUAUCGUUUAAUAAAUAUAACAUUCGAAAUAUGCCAAGUGGUGAUAUUUUCGAAAAAAAUGUCCCAAAUGUUACUGAAGAAAAAUUAAUGAAUGAAAACCUUUCACAUGUUUCACCUAAUUUGUUAAGUACAAAUGUUAAUGUCAAAGAGCUAAUUGAAAGUAAACAGAUAUUAGAAGAUAUAGAAACGUUUAAAGAAACGAAAAUAAAAAUGGAAGACAUUAUUUUAGAUAUAGAAAAUGAAAAAAAUAAUAACGACAGUGUCACUUUACAUAAUGAGAAUAAACAGGGGACGAGUGCGACAACUAGUAUAGAACAAAGAGAAACUGUUUCGUCCAAGUUAAAAAAGUUAAAGAAAAUUGAAAAAUACCAAAUAAGUAAUGACGAAAGAGAAAAACACAUGAAAAAAUAUAUGCUUAAGAUAGAAGAAAAAUACAAAAAAAAAAAAGAAGAAGAUUAUAAAAAAGAAUUAGAUGAGAAUAAAGAGGAAAUGAAAAAAUUCAAAGAAAAAGAAAAUACGUUUAUUAAUUAUUUAAAAAAUCCGAGAUUAAAUUUGUCAAAAACGGGAGACUUAAAUCAGUAUUUGUGUAUCUCUCCGACAUUUAUUCAUUUCAAAGAUAUAACAAAAGGAACAACACCAACGAAGGAUUUAUUGAUUACUAACAAAAGUAGUACAUUGCUUCAUAUUAUUAUAGUACCCCCAUCAAGUAAAACCUUUUUUAUAAAAGAGAUAAUAAAUUUACAAAAUAAAAAUGAGGAGAAUUCCAAAUAUAAUUUAAAUAAUCAGAUAGCUCCUGGACACUCAAUAAAAAUUAAAGUGUCUUAUAACGUGCUGACAUUAAACCAACAGACGGAUAGUAUAAAAUUGUUAUCAGAAGCUGGGAAUAUAACAAUUGACAUCAAAGUAUUUCAAUCCACACCAAAAAUUAGUUUUGAAAAAAUAUUAAAUUUCGGGCCUGUCCGUUCUAAUGAACAAAAACAAAAAUCAUUUUCUAUUAAGAACGAAGGAAACGCAAUGAAAAUACUUGUUAUACCUAAGAAGCUAUUUAUUUAUUACAAUAAAAAAAAGGAGAUAGAAAAAGAAGAGAAUAUAUUAAAUUUGUUAAUAAAACGAUCAAAGGAUACAAAAGAAAUAAAAAAAGUAACUGAAGAAGGGGAUAAUUAUUAUGAAUAUGAUAACAUCAAAAGCUAUUCAUAUAAUUUCCUUUUUUUAUAUAAACAGUUGAUUACUAAUUUUCAGAAUCUAUACUUUGAAAAAGUGUUACAAGAUUGUUAUUUUUAUGAUUUAAAAAAUUCAGAAGAAAAGGCUGUCAUGUUUGCUUUUAAGAGCAACAAAAUUGGAAUUUAUGAAAAAAAGUACUUAAUUGUAACAGACAUCGCUUGUGAUUUCAAAGACUUAGAUGAUAAUGAAAAAUCAAAAUUUUAUACCGAAAACGAACUGAACAUUUUUAACUUUUCCAUUAAAGCCAUAGUUGAGCCCUUACUGUUAAAUUUGAUAAAUAUAAAUAAAAACACAACAAGUGACUUUUAUACACGUCAAUUGCCAGAGCAUAUACAAAAAAAAGAGAAAAACAAGUUAAAUUAUUUUAAUUUUAGUAAUUCAUUAAAUUCAUUUAAAUUUCAAGACAUUCAAGUCAAUAGUGGCUACAGUUUUACCGAAUUGGAAAUUUUAAACAAUGGCUUAAUAAACUUAGAAAUAUCAUGCAAUAUAUAUAUCAAACAAUCAGAUGAGGAAAAACAGCCAAAAGAUUUUUUAUUACAAAAACAUGAAAAAGGUAGUUACUAUUAUAAAGAGCUGUUUGAUACAGAAUUAAAAACUUCACUAUAUGAUAAGUGGUCAGAAAGAGAAGAAAAUCAAGUUGAAGAAGGUGAUAUUGUAGAGAGAAGUGAAAAUGAAAAAAAUUUAGAAAAGAAAAGAGACAAAGCGGGAAAUCCCGUGGCAAAUGGUGAUGCAGUCACCGUUGCAAUAAAUAAAACAACCAAAAGGAAAAAAAAAAAAAAAAACUUAUAUGCCCAGUUUAUAUUUAUCCACAUAAUUUCAUUUUAUCAUACAAGAAAAGACAAAAAAUAUAUAUCAUUUUUAAACCUAAAGAAAAGCACAAAAAUUUUCAAAAUUAUUAUUUUGUACUACUGAUUAAAAACUUAUCAAGGGGGUCUGACAUGUAUAUAGAAGAUUUGAUAAAAAUAAAUGAAAACAUAAAAGAAACGAAUAUUGGAUU